UGGGGGAUAUUGGACAAUGGGGGAAACCCUGAUCCAGCGACGCCGCGUGAGUGAAGAAGUAUUUCGGUAUGUAAAGCUCUGUCAGCAGGGAAGAAGAAAGUGACGGUACCUGACCAAGAAGCCCCGGCUAACUACGUGCCAGCAGCCGCGGUAAUACGUAGGGGGCAAGCGUUAUCCGGAAUUACUGGGUGUAAAGGGAGCGUAGACGGUAAUGUAAGUCUGGAGUGAAAGGCGGGGGCCCAACCCCCGGACUGCUCUGGAAACUAUGUUACUGGAGUGCAGGAGAGGUAAGCGGAAUUCCUAGUGUAGCGGUGAAAUGCGUAGAUAUUAGGAGGAACACCGGUGGCGAAGGCGGCUUACUGGACCGUAACUGACGUUGAGGCUCGAAAGCGUGGGGAGC
Molecule: ribosomal RNA, 400 nt
Filed under: uncultured bacterium
Lineage: Bacteria
Description: bacterial SSU rRNA
Rfam family: Bacterial small subunit ribosomal RNA
Source: RNAcentral